UAAGCAUAUCAAUAAGCGGAGGAAAAGAAACUAACAAGGAUUCCCCUAGUAACUGCGAGUGAAGCGGGAAAAGCUCAAAUUUAAAAUCUGGCAGCCUUUGGUUGUCCGAGUUGUAAUCUAGAGAAGUGUUAUCCGCGCUGGACCGUGUACAAGUCUCCUGGAAUGGAGCGUCAUAGAGGGUGAGAAUCCCGUCUUUGACACGGACUGCCAGGGCUUUGUGAUGCGCUCUCAAAGAGUCGAGUUGUUUGGGAAUGCAGCUCAAAAUGGGUGGUAAAUUCCAUCUAAAGCUAAAUAUUGGCGAGAGACCGAUAGCGAACAAGUACCGUGAGGGAAAGAUGAAAAGAACUUUGGAAAGAGAGUUAAACAGUACGUGAAAUUGCUGAAAGGGAAACGCUUGAAGUCAGUCGCGUUGUCCAGGGAUCAACCUUGCUUUUGCUUGGUGCACUUUCUGGUUGACGGGUCAGCAUCAAUUUUGACUAUUGGAAAAAGAUUAGGGGAAUGUGGCAUCUUCGGAUGUGUUAUAGCCUUUAGUUGUAUACAAUGGUUGGGAUUGAGGAACUCAGCACGCCGCAAGGCCGGGUUUUUAACCACGUACGUGCUUAGGAUGCUGGCAUAAUGGCUUUAAUCGACCCGUCUUGAAACACGGACCAAGGAGUCUAACAUGCCUGCGAGUGUUUGGGUGGAAAACCCGAGCGCGUAAUGAAAGUGAAAGUUGAGAUCCCUGUCGUGGGGAGCAUCGACGCCCGGACCAGACCUUUUGUGACGGUUCCGCGGUAGAGCAUGUAUGUUGGGACCCGAAAGAUGGUGAACUAUGCCUGAAUAGGGUGAAGCCAGAGGAAACUCUGGUGGAGGCUCGUAGCGAUUCUGACGUGCAAAUCGAUCGUCAAAUUUGGGUAUAGGGGCGAAAGACUAAUCGAACCAUCUAGUAAGCUGGUUCCUGC
RNAcentral lists this ribosomal RNA (941 nucleotides) under Cortinarius sp. PDD 103641. Its description in RNAcentral is "eukaryotic LSU rRNA". It matches the Rfam family "Eukaryotic large subunit ribosomal RNA", at positions 35 to 961 of the family's 3401-position model. The record is from RNAcentral. Lineage: Eukaryota; Fungi; Basidiomycota; Agaricomycetes; Agaricales; Cortinariaceae.